Molecule: long non-coding RNA, 992 nt
Filed under: Elaeis guineensis (African oil palm)
Lineage: Eukaryota; Viridiplantae; Streptophyta; Magnoliopsida; Arecales; Arecaceae
Description: long non-coding RNA (EGUI_LNC034408)
Source: RNAcentral
UGGGGCUCUUCAAUUAUUACAUUUAUCACCCCUAUGGGAGGCCGGUCUCCAGAAGGCCUCCGUUAUGGUUUUGAUGGAGCAAGUAGUCUUCGUUGCUCCUCUGGAUGAUCCUACCGAUGCUGAAUAAAUCAGUCGAAGUGACCACGCCGAAUGAGUUCUUCUAUUUCAUCCUGAAGUUGAAUGCAGUCUUUGGUAUCGUGGCCAUGGUCACGGUGGUACAAGCAAUACUUAUUUUGAUUUCAUCGGCCGGGGUUAGACCGCAGUCUCUCCAUUCUAGGAAUCCGAUCCCUGAUCUCCAUCACACCUGGGCUCGAGUAGCAUUCAACGGGGUGUAAUUUCUAAAUCUCCUAAGCGGAGACAUAGCCACUCUCUUCUAGAAUUGUCCCUUUAUCGAGGAUUCUACGGUGGAGUUUGGGAUCUUCGGUUUCUGGGUGGAGAGCACUGUCGAUUCUUUGACGAGAACUUUGGUUUUUCUUCCUUCUUUUCCUCAGCUACCAUAUUGGUCGGGGACUCUCUCUCAAAAGCUUCAUCAACCCUCGUAUACUUUUCCGCCUGAGCCAAUAUAUCAGCAAAGUUGCUGGAGUAGGUCUUCUCCAAUGAAUAACGAAGACCAUUUCUCAGUAGUCCGUCCGUCAAGGUGGCCAUAGUGACUGAUUGAUGCAAAUCGCGAACUUCCAAUAUAGCCGCAUUAAAAUGGCUGAGGUAAGAUCGGAUGGACUCUCCUUCUAUCUGCUUGAUGUUCAACGAGAGUCCGAUCCUUUAUGUUGUCUCCUGCUGCUAACAAAAUGACCGACGAACAACCGACUCAUUUGGUCAAAAGAGUUGAUGGAUCAUGGCUUCAGGCUCGCAUACCAACACCGAGCUAUACCUUUGAGUGUGGACAGAAAGGCUCGGUAGAAGGCUGCAUCGGUAGCACCAUGGAUCAGCAUCAGAGACUUAAAACUCUCUAAGUGAUUCACAGGAUCGGUGAUCCUGUGGUAGUUCUCUAGUAG